UAAAAUGGGAGGUAAAUUUCUCCUAAGGCUAAAUAACGGCGAGAGACCGAUAGCGAACAAGUACCGUGAGGGAAAGAUGAAAAGAACUUUGAAAAGAGAGUUAAACAGUACGUGAAAUUGUUGAAAGGGAAACGAUUGAAGCCAGUCGUACCUUCGGGUAAUCAGCCUUUCGGGUGCGAUUCUGUGGAGUGUGAGGAGCUUAACACCUUCAUGCUUUGCAUAUUUGUGCUCUUGGGUGUACUUGCCCGUGUGGUCGGUUAACAUCAAUUUUGGUUAUCAUAAAAUGAUUGGAGGAAUGUAGCUUCGAUCUCGUAUUGAAGUGUUAUAGCCUUCGGUAGAUGUGAUGAUCGAGAUUGAGGAUUGCAACGGAUACCCUUCGGGGCUACCUGUCUGGUCUCUGAUCGUUGCUCUGGUGCCGAAAGCUUGCUUACGGUUAUCAAAGUCGAUGGUCAAUAGGUUAGAACGGGUUAA
Molecule: ribosomal RNA, 471 nt
Filed under: Rhizophagus intraradices
Lineage: Eukaryota; Fungi; Glomeromycota; Glomeromycetes; Glomerales; Glomeraceae
Description: eukaryotic LSU rRNA
Rfam family: Eukaryotic large subunit ribosomal RNA
Source: RNAcentral